Molecule: ribosomal RNA, 507 nt
Filed under: uncultured Glomus
Lineage: Eukaryota; Fungi; Glomeromycota; Glomeromycetes; Glomerales; Glomeraceae
Description: SSU rRNA
Rfam family: Eukaryotic small subunit ribosomal RNA
Source: RNAcentral
AGCAGCCGCGGUAAUUCCAGCUCCAAUAGCGUAUAUUAAAGUUGUUGCAGUUAAAAAGCUCGUAGUUGAAUUUCGAGAUCAGUACGCUGGUCGUGCCUUCGGUAUGCACUGGUGUCACUGGUUUCUCCCUUCUGAAGAACCGUCAUGCCAUUCAGUUGGUGUGGCGGGGAAUCAGGACUGUUACUUUGAAAAAAUUAGAGUGUUUAAAGCAGGCUCGCGCUUGAAUACAUUAGCAUGGAAUAAUGAAAUAGGACGUUUGACCCUAUUUUGUUGGUUUCUAGGAUCGACGUAAUGAUUAAUAGGGAUAGUUGGGGGCAUUAGUAUUCAAUUGUCAGAGGUGAAAUUCUUGGAUUUAUUGAAGACUAACUACUGCGAAAGCAUUUGCCAAGGAUGUUUUCAUUAAUCAAGAACGAAAGUUAGGGGAUCGAAGACGAUCAGAUACCGUCGUAGUCUUAACCAUAAACUAUGCCGACUAGGGAUCGGAUGAUGUUAAUUUUUAAUGACUCU